AUUUUCGGUGGCUUCUGACACGGC
RNAcentral lists this microRNA (24 nucleotides) under Zea mays. Its description in RNAcentral is "microRNA miR-3139". Lineage: Eukaryota; Viridiplantae; Streptophyta; Magnoliopsida; Poales; Poaceae. The record is from RNAcentral.